CCUACGGUAGGUAGCAGUCGAGAAUCAUUCACAAUGGGGGAAACCCUGAUGGUGCGACGCCGCGUGGGGGAAUGAAGGUCUUCGGAUUGUAAACCCCUGUCAUGUGGGAGCAAAUUAAAAAGAUAGUACCACAAGAGGAAGAGACGGCUAACUCUGUGCCAGCAGCCGCGGUAAUACAGAGGUCUCAAGCGUUGUUCGGAAUCACUGGGCGUAAAGCGUGCGUAGGCUGUUUCGUAAGUCGUGUGUGAAAGGCGCGGGCUCAACCCGCGGACGGCACAUGAUACUGCGAGACUAGAGUAAUGGAGGGGGAACCGGAAUUCUCGGUGUAGCAGUGAAAUGCGUAGAUAUCGAGAGGAACACUCGUGGCGAAGGCGGGUUCCUGGACAUUAACUGACGCUGAGGCACGAAGGCCAGGGGAGCGAAAGGGAUUAGAUACCCGAGUAGUC
This 446-nucleotide ribosomal RNA is filed under the name uncultured bacterium. Its description in RNAcentral is "partial 16S ribosomal RNA". It matches the Rfam family "Bacterial small subunit ribosomal RNA", at positions 338 to 795 of the family's 1533-position model. The record is from RNAcentral.